UGUUCAUUUUAUCUAUUAUAUUUUGUAGAUCGGUGUACUCAAACCAAGGUUGCAUUCUACGGUUUCUUGCGAAGGCAUAUUUGAAGACAUUAACAACAGAACUCCUAAUUAACAAAAGUACACCUUCAUUAUGGCUACCACUGAACACCGAACAUCGUCUUUUAUCGCACCGAGACUUGAUGAGGUUGGUAGCAACUGUACCCUCGGAGGACACGCGACCAUAAUCAAGUUCAUCAUGGAAAAAGAGGAUCUCAGUUAUUUUAGAGCUUCAAUUUUCUGUCAAAGUAGUCUUGUUUCGGUAGCAACUUCAUAGAUAGUUUUAGGCUCACUUUGCCAAACAUAACUGUCGGUUUUAUUACAUCAUCAUGACACACCACAUAUCAAACUGGCGAAAGUUUUGAUCUAGGUGCUUCAGGAAAUUGAAUCCAGUCCGCUCUUAACUUCGCGUAUUUUAUCGUGUACUUUCUUAUGUUUGAUACAAAUAGUGCGGUGGUUUGGUUAUUUAAAACCCUCAAUAACAGGAAUAAAUUUAAAGAAAACAAUACAGUAGUUGGUGGUUAUACGUCUUAAGUUAUUCAAAAUGAAAUAAUUAUUAGGUGCUACACCAGGUCACUUCUCUAAACCAAUGAGAAAAAUUCCUCGUCUUCAAACUUCCGAUACGAUGAACCUUUUCUAUGCCGCCUUGUUUCCUUAAUGCGGUAAAUCUAUCCAUCAUAAGCAUUUGUACCAAAACUGGAAGGGUGUUUAAACGAAAC
This is a long non-coding RNA of Pocillopora damicornis (cauliflower coral), 755 nucleotides long. The record is from RefSeq and is a predicted model, not a curated record. NCBI's taxonomy places the organism in Eukaryota, Metazoa, Cnidaria, Anthozoa, Scleractinia, Pocilloporidae.